Molecule: long non-coding RNA, 300 nt
Organism: Colias croceus (clouded yellow)
Lineage: Eukaryota; Metazoa; Arthropoda; Insecta; Lepidoptera; Pieridae
Exons: 3
Source: RefSeq, a predicted model, not a curated record
GAGCUCAACCAAUUCAGCAAUAUGUUGACUGUAUCCCAGGGACAUCAUAUUCAUCAGCAAGACCCUGUGUAGUCCGCGUAGUAUCCAACAUUGAACCAGAGGCCGAACCUUCCCCUGCUCAUACACCACCGAGAGCGGAGGUAACGAGCCCUCUGCAAGCAGUUACCCCCUCUGGCUCGGGCAACUUUCCUGCUCGACGACGAUUGAACGUCGCGGGUCCAUCACCGCAUCGUACUACAAGGUCAUCGAGUCGUCCACAACAAAGGCAAAGAAAACGAUCACCUGCAUCACAAAGGCGGC